UCCCUCUUAGCUCAGUGGUAGAGUGCGUCACUAGUAUAUGGUGUUGUGCUUAUGACGAGGUCAGUCGUUCAAGUCGGCUAGAGGGAA
Hymenopellis radicata is the source of this 87-nucleotide non-coding RNA. The record is from the annotation of a GenBank genome assembly. NCBI's taxonomy places the organism in Eukaryota, Fungi, Basidiomycota, Agaricomycetes, Agaricales, Physalacriaceae.